CCUACGGGGGACAGCAGUGAGGAAUAUUGGUCAAUGGGCGCGAGCCUGAACCAGCGACGCCGCGUGAGUGAAGAAGUAUUUCGGUAUGUAAAGCUCUAUCAGCAGGGAAGAAAAUGACGGUACCUGACUAAGAAGCCCCGGCUAACACCUGCCAACCACCGCCGGAAUACGUAGGGGGCCAGCGUUACUCGGAUUUACUGGGUGUAAAGGGAGCGUAGACGGUGCAGCAAGUCUGAUGUGAAAGGGCGGGGCCCAACCCCGGGACUGCAUUGGAAACCGUUGAACUGGAGUAUAGGAGAGGUAAGCGGAAUUCCUAGUGUAGCGGUGAAAUGCGUAGAUAUUAGGAGGAACACCAGUGGCGAAGGCGGCUUACUGGACUGUAACUGACGUUGAGGCUCGAAAGCGUGGGGAGCAAACAGGAUUAGAUACCCCUGUAGUC
RNAcentral lists this ribosomal RNA (439 nucleotides) under uncultured bacterium. Its description in RNAcentral is "partial 16S ribosomal RNA". It matches the Rfam family "Bacterial small subunit ribosomal RNA", at positions 338 to 795 of the family's 1533-position model. The record is from RNAcentral.